RNAcentral lists this transfer RNA (75 nucleotides) under Chloroflexi bacterium RBG_19FT_COMBO_47_9. RNAcentral describes it as "tRNA-Met". It matches the Rfam family "tRNA". Rfam says of the family: Transfer RNA (tRNA) molecules are approximately 80 nucleotides in length. Their secondary structure includes four short double-helical elements and three loops (D, anti-codon, and T loops). Lineage: Bacteria; Bacillati; Chloroflexota. The record is from RNAcentral.
GGGCCCAUAGCUCAGCGGCAGAGCGGACGGCUCAUAACCGUUUGGCCGUAGGUUCGAUCCCUACUGGGCCCACUA